RNAcentral lists this ribosomal RNA (460 nucleotides) under uncultured bacterium. RNAcentral describes it as "partial 16S ribosomal RNA". It matches the Rfam family "Bacterial small subunit ribosomal RNA", at positions 338 to 795 of the family's 1533-position model. The record is from RNAcentral.
CCUACGGGAGGCAGCAGUGAGGAAUAUUGGUCAAUGGCCGGAAGGCUGAACCAGCCAUGCCGCGUGAAGGUCAGUGCCCUAUGGGCGUUAAACUUCUUUUGUGCGGGAGCAAUAAUGGUCACGUGUGGCCAGACGAGAGUACCGUACGAAUAAGCAUCUGCUAACUCCGUGCCAGCAGCCGCGGUAAUACGGGGGAUGCAAGCGUUAUCCGGAUUUAUUGGGUUUAAAGGGUGCGUAGGCUGUGAGGUAAGUCAGCGGGGAAAUGCCGCCGCUCAACGGGGUGAAGUGCCAUUGAUACUGCCUUGCUGGAAUGCGGAUGCAGUGGGAGGAAUGUGUGGUGUAGCGGUGAAAUGCAUAGAUAUCACACAGAACACCGAUUGCGAAGGCAUCUCACGAAUCCGCGAUUGACGCUGAUGCACGAAAGCGUGGGUAUCAAACAGGAUUAGAUACCCCAGUAGUC